RNAcentral lists this ribosomal RNA (463 nucleotides) under uncultured bacterium. RNAcentral describes it as "partial 16S ribosomal RNA". The stretch from base 51 to 463 matches the Rfam family "Bacterial small subunit ribosomal RNA", at positions 35 to 507 of the family's 1533-position model. The record is from RNAcentral.
GGGGGGGGGGGGCGGGGGGCGUGGCGGGGGGGGGGCGGGGGGGGGGGGGGGCGGGCACCAUGGCCACCAUGGCGGACGGGUGGGUAACGGGUACGGGGCUUACCUGCCGGACGGGGCUACCAGGGGGAAACGCCCGCCAAUACCGGCCAAUGUCAUGGAGCAGCACGGCCUUCUGAGGGCAGGGGACGCCUGCGGAGCGCCUUGCCUCCUCUUAGCUAGUUGGUGAGGUAAUGGCUCACCAAGGCGAAGACAGGUAGCCGGCCUGAGGGGGUGGACGGCCACAAGGGGACUGAGAUACGGCCCUUACUCCUACGGGAGGCAGCAGUGGGGAAUAUUGGACAAUGGGGGCAACCCUGAUCCAGCAAUUCUGUGUGCACGAAGAAGGUUUUCGGAUUGUAAAGUGCUUUCAGCAGGGAAGAAGUAAGUGACGGUACCUGCAGAAGAAGCGACGGCUAAAUACGUG